UCGUCGCUUGUAUACAUUAUUCAUUAUUAUUAUUUUCUCAUGCACUAAACGAGAACAAAGCAAUGAGUAGAAUGACGAUCUGGAAGCCGGGGAAAAAUAAAUUUUAAUAAAAUAUCGUUAUCAUUAGAAACAAUGUCAUGAUUUCUAAGCCUUAAUAAAGUGAAAUAUGUCAGCUAACCCGUCAAAUUUAUAUGGAUGGAUCAUCUGUCAAGUGCCACUGGAAGCCUAUCUACGCAUCCCCAUAAAAAAAAUUCUCGUAGGAACGUCUGGGAAUCCAUAGAAAUUCGAGGGAAUUAAGGAUUUACUUAAGAAACCAUGGGAAUCUAUGGAGAAAAGUAUGGAUUUAUAUGGGAAUCCAUGUAGGGAACUAUGGGUACCUAGAUCUUCAUACAGGAAACAAAUGUAGGAAAUUGAUAUAAGAUCUGGGGAUCUGUAUUUUUGUAUAGAAUCAGAGGAUUAAAAAAUUUUUAAUACUGACCAAAUCAUUUCAUAUCAUAACCGGUGACAGAAAUUUGAAUAUUAUUUCGGGAUUUAAGAUAGUCCGGUAACUCGCGCCAAUUUUCAUACUUUUUUUACGGGCCUUUUUUUUUAGAAGGAACAAACGAAAAGUUUUGCAUUUUUAGUAUGUUUUUAUUUACAUCUUAAGUAGGGGUGUGCGAAUACUCGAGACUUCGAAUUAUUCGAGACGAAUCGAAUCGAACAAUUCGAUUCGAGAUUCGCCUCGAAGAUUUGAAAUGUUCGAAUAGUUCGAAAUGUUCGAAUAGUUCGAAAUGUUCGAAUAGUUCGAAAUGUUCGAAUAGUUCGAAAGGUUCGAAUAGUUUGGAAGGUUCGAAUAGUUUAAAAGGUUCGAAUAGUUCGAAAGGUUCGAAUAGUUCGAAAGGUUCGAAUAGUUCGAAAGAUUCGAAUAGUUCGAAAGAUUCGAAUAGUUCGAGAGCUUCGAAUAGUUCG
Microplitis mediator is the source of this 948-nucleotide long non-coding RNA. RefSeq lists it as uncharacterized. NCBI's taxonomy places the organism in Eukaryota, Metazoa, Arthropoda, Insecta, Hymenoptera, Braconidae. The record is from RefSeq and is a predicted model, not a curated record. The transcript is spliced from 3 exons.